UGUACGACUCUCGGCAACGGAUAUCUCGGCUCUCGCAUCGAUGAAGAACGUAGCGAAAUGCGAUACCUGGUGUGAAUUGUUGAAUCCCCUGAACCAUCGAGUCUUUGAACGCAAGUUGCGCCCGAGGCCAUCCGGCUAAUGGCGCGCCUGCCUGGGCGUCACGC
This 164-nucleotide ribosomal RNA is filed under the name Musa acuminata (dwarf banana). RNAcentral describes it as "5.8S ribosomal RNA". It matches the Rfam family "5.8S ribosomal RNA". From Rfam's summary of the family: 5.8S ribosomal RNA (5.8S rRNA) is a component of the large subunit of the eukaryotic ribosome. It is transcribed by RNA polymerase I as part of the 45S precursor that also contains 18S and 28S rRNA. Functionally, it is thought that 5.8S rRNA may be involved in ribosome translocation. Lineage: Eukaryota; Viridiplantae; Streptophyta; Magnoliopsida; Zingiberales; Musaceae. The record is from RNAcentral.